AGAGGUUGUCUGGGUUUCUGUUUCUUUAUUGAUGAUGAAACACACCUGGUUACCCUCUUU
RNAcentral lists this microRNA precursor (60 nucleotides) under Echinops telfairi (small Madagascar hedgehog). Lineage: Eukaryota; Metazoa; Chordata; Mammalia; Afrosoricida; Tenrecidae. The record is from RNAcentral.